GCAGCCCAGAGCCUGUAUCAGUGUGUGUGUUAGUGGAAGCGUCUGGAAAGGCGCGCGAUACAGGGUGACAGCCCCGUACACAAAAAUGCACAUGCUGUGAGCUCGAUGAGUAGGGCGGGACACGUGGUAUCCUGUCUGAAUAUGGGGGGACCAUCCUCCAAGGCUAAAUACUCCUGACUGACCGAUAGUGAACCAGUACCGUGAGGGAAAGGCGAAAAGAACCCCGGCGAGGGGAGUGAAAAAGAACCUGAAACCGUGUACGUACAAGCAGUGGGAGCACGCUUAGGCGUGUGACUGCGUACCUUUUGUAUAAUGGGUCAGCGACUUAUAUUCUGUAGCAAGGUUAACCGAAUAGGGGAGCCGAAGGGAAACCGAGUCUUAACUGGGCGUUAAGUUGCAGGGUAUAGACCCGAAACCCGGUGAUCUAGCCAUGGGCAGGUUGAAGGUUGGGUAACACUAACUGGAGGACCGAACCGACUAAUGUUGAAAAAUUAGCGGAUGACUUGUGGCUGGGGGUGAAAGGCCAAUCAAACCGGGAGAUAGCUGGUUCUCCCCGAAAGCUAUUUAGGUAGCGCCUCGUGAAUUCAUCUCCGGGGGUAGAGCACUGUUUCGGCAAGGGGGUCAUCCCGACUUACCAACCCGAUGCAAACUGCGAAUACCGGAGAAUGUUAUCACGGGAGACACACGGCGGGUGCUAACGUCCGUCGUGAAGAGGGAAACAACCCAGACCGCCAGCUAAAGGUCCCAAAAGUCAUGGUUAAGUGGGAAACGAUGUGGGAAGGCCCAGACAGCCAGGAUGUUGGCUUAGAAGCAGCCAUCAUUUAAAGAAAGCGUAAUAGCUCACUGGUCGAGUCGGCCUGCGCUGAAGAUGUAACGGGGCUAAACCAUGCACCGAAGCUGCGGCAGCGACGCUGAUGCGUUGUUGGGUAGGGGAGCGUUCUGUAAGCCUGCGAAGGUGUGCUGUGAGGCAUGCUGGAGGUAUCAGAAGUGCGAAUGCUGACAUAAGUAACGAUAAAGCGGGUGAAAAGCCCGCUCGCCGGAAGACCAAGGGUUCCUGUCCAACGUUAAUCGGGGCAGGGUGAGUCGACCCCUAAGGCGAGGCCGAAAGGCGUAGUCGAUGGGAAACAGGUUAAUAUUCCUGUACUUGGUGUUACUGCGAAGGGGGGACGGAGAAGGCUAUGUUGGCCGGGCGACGGUUGUCCCGGUUUAAGCGUGUAGGCUGGUUUUCCAGGCAAAUCCGGAAAAUCAAGGCUGAGGCGUGAUGACGAGGCACUACGGUGCUGAAGCAACAAAUGCCCUGCUUCCAGGAAAAGCCUCUAAGCAUCAGGUAACAUCAAAUCGUACCCCAAACCGACACAGGUGGUCAGGUAGAGAAUACCAAGGCGCUUGAGAGAACUCGGGUGAAGGAACUAGGCAAAAUGGUGCCGUAACUUCGGGAGAAGGCACGCUGAUACGUAGGUGAAGUCCCUCGCGGAUGGAGCUGAAAUCAGUCGAAGAUACCAGCUGGCUGCAACUGUUUAUUAAAAACACAGCACUGUGCAAACACGAAAGUGGACGUAUACGGUGUGACGCCUGCCCGGUGCCGGAAGGUUAAUUGAUGGGGUCAGCGCAAGCGAAGCUCUUGAUCGAAGCCCCGGUAAACGGCGGCCGUAACUAUAACGGUCCUAAGGUAGCGAAAUUCCUUGUCGGGUAAGUUCCGACCUGCACGAAUGGCGUAAUGAUGGCCAGGCUGUCUCCACCCGAGACUCAGUGAAAUUGAACUCGCUGUGAAGAUGCAGUGUACCCGCGGCAAGACGGAAAGACCCCGUGAACCUUUACUAUAGCUUGACACUGAACAUUGAGCCUUGAUGUGUAGGAUAGGUGGGAGGCUUUGAAGUGUGGACGCCAGUCUGCAUGGAGCCGACCUUGAAAUACCACCCUUUAAUGUUUGAUGUUCUAACGUUGACCCGUAAUCCGGGUUGCGGACAGUGUCUGGUGGGUAGUUUGACUGGGGCGGUCUCCUCCUAAAGAGUAACGGAGGAGCACGAAGGUUGGCUAAUCCUGGUCGGACAUCAGGAGGUUAGUGCAAUGGCAUAAGCCAGCUUGACUGCGAGCGUGACGGCGCGAGCAGGUGCGAAAGCAGGUCAUAGUGAUCCGGUGGUUCUGAAUGGAAGGGCCAUCGCUCAACGGAUAAAAGGUACUCCGGGGAUAACAGGCUGAUACCGCCCAAGAGUUCAUAUCGACGGCGGUGUUUGGCACCUCGAUGUCGGCUCAUCACAUCCUGGGGCUGAAGUAGGUCCCAAGGGUAUGGCUGUUCGCCAUUUAAAGUGGUACGCGAGCUGGGGUUAGAACGUCGUGAGACAGUUCGGUCCCUAUCUGCCGUGGGCGCUGGAGAAUUGAGGGGGGCUGCUCCUAGUACGAGAGGACCGGAGUGGACGCAUCACUGGUGUUCGGGUUGUCAUGCCAAUGGCACUGCCCGGUAGCUAAAUGCGGAAGAGAUAAGUGCUGAAAGCAUCUAAGCACGAAACUUGCCCCGAGAUGAGUUCUCCCUGACUCCUUGAGAGUCCUGAAGGAACGUUGAAGACGACGACGUUGAUAGGCCGGGUGUGUAAGCGCAGCGAUGCGUUGAGCUAACCGGUACUAAUGAACCGUGAGGCUUAACCUU
Molecule: ribosomal RNA, 2644 nt
Filed under: Escherichia coli DEC14C
Lineage: Bacteria; Pseudomonadati; Pseudomonadota; Gammaproteobacteria; Enterobacterales; Enterobacteriaceae
Description: bacterial LSU rRNA
Rfam family: Bacterial large subunit ribosomal RNA
Source: RNAcentral